GUAAGGAAUAUUGGUCAAUGGACGCAAGUCUGAACCAGCCAUGCCGCGUGGAGGAUUAAGGCCCUCUGGGUUGUAAACUCCUUUUAUCUGGGAAGAAAUCCAAGUAUUCUUAUUUGGUUGACGGUACCAGAGGAAUAAGCACCGGCUAACUCCGUGCCAGCAGCCGCGGUAAUACGGAGGGUGCAAGCGUUAUCCGGAUUCACUGGGUUUAAAGGGUGCGUAGGCGGGCAGGUAAGUCCGUGGUGAAAUCUCUGAGCUUAACUCAGAAACUGCCAUGGAUACUAUUUGUCUUGAAUGUUGUGGAGGUAAGCGGAAUAUGUCAUGUAGCGGUGAAAUGCUUAGAUAUGACAUAGAACACCAAUUGCGAAGGCAGCUUACUACACAAAUAUUGACGCUGAGGCACGAAAGCGUGGGGAUCAAACAGGAUUAGAAACCCCGGUAGUCC
RNAcentral lists this ribosomal RNA (445 nucleotides) under uncultured bacterium. RNAcentral's name for it is "bacterial SSU rRNA". It matches the Rfam family "Bacterial small subunit ribosomal RNA", at positions 354 to 796 of the family's 1533-position model. The record is from RNAcentral.